Amblyraja radiata (thorny skate) is the source of this 689-nucleotide long non-coding RNA. RefSeq lists it as uncharacterized. The record is from RefSeq and is a predicted model, not a curated record. Lineage: Eukaryota; Metazoa; Chordata; Chondrichthyes; Rajiformes; Rajidae. The transcript is spliced from 3 exons.
AAAUACAAUGGAGAAAAAUCUUCAAGAGAUUCAAAUGCAUUUGAAUCUUAUGCAGCAGGAACUCCCAAUUUUACAGAAACAACUGGAUCAAGUAAAUGGUGUGACAUUACUCCAGGCAGAAGCUGGUCACAAGCGAAGGGUUGGAUGUGGGGAACAUACAUUGUCGGUAGCAGAAGGAGCUCUGCCGGUUGAAAAAUUCCAUCACCCGUUUUUGUUGAACAUACCUUUGAGAAAAAUGUUUGGCAUCAUUAAGCGAGGUAACAUUGACACAAAUUCAUCCAUUGCUACAUACAUAUUAGAUUUCUGUGUGCACCAAUGAAAUGCAAAGAAGACAAAACAUAAUGGAGAUACGUGGAAUUAGUUUAGAUUAGUUUAUUAUUUUCACGUGUGCAGGGAAAAGCUUUUUUUUGGUAGAUUAAAUUAAAUAUUUAUCCUAGUCCCAAAACAAACCUGCAUGGAAACUGACUGUCAAAUCGUCAGCGGGCGACGUCAGGUCCAUGAACACAAGAACACAACACAACCUAAACUCACUUCAUGAGGGAACCACACAUCCUGUACAUAUUCACACUUCAUAAAUAUUCGGUCACAUGAAUUCAAAUCCCUGGGCAGCAGUGAAGCAACUUCAACCCAUUCAAUUAAUUCACUGGGUAUCCAAAGUUCAUAAGGUUGUAGUGGAUAGGAGCAGAAUU